Molecule: long non-coding RNA, 948 nt
Organism: Ochotona princeps (American pika)
Lineage: Eukaryota; Metazoa; Chordata; Mammalia; Lagomorpha; Ochotonidae
Exons: 3
Source: RefSeq, a predicted model, not a curated record
CUUGAGCCGGGACAGAAAAGUAGGGAUGGGGGAGGAGGUACGUGCUGAGCGCUGGGAGCCUGGGAGUACCUUUUCAGGUUAGGGGCCCAAGAGCUGAGGUUGGUAGUGGGUUUGACUGAGGGGGCGGGAUCAGGAAACGGGAAAAGUAACACAAACGUAGCUCGAAUAGGCGGUAGGUGGACACCUGCCCCAGACAAGGCGCCGUGGACCCUCUAGAAGCCUAGCACCAGGACAGAAGCGGUGCCGGUCGCUCCCCGGUGCGCCCCCGCCUGUCCGCGCGUCGCCUGCCGGGCCAGCUGCAGGUCUGCACACCUCCUAGGGGGAAGAAAAGCUUUCUAUCACGAGUUCAGCCAGCUUCAGGUAGCACCUUCUGACCCUGGGGCCCCCUCCAGCUGCCUGCCCCGGGUCCUAAGGAAGUUGGUGGCUUAAGGGAGUGCCAGAGAAUCUCGAAGGAACCAGGAAGCAGGCUGCAAGUGCCGGGCAGUGCGUCUAAAUCUGGAUAGGCCUCAUCAGAAGGGGAAGGAAAGGACGCAGAAGGCCCCGACAGCAAAUACUUACACUUGGAAGAGGAAGAUCCAUAAAAACAGCAGGAUGGAGACACAGUUGGUGAUGUUCCACAUCAUUAGAAACAACAGCAGCAGCACAUGGUUGACCAGAACAAGACUGAGGCAAGGGCUAAACUCUACGUCAUGUCUCCCUCCACGAGGACAAAUGGGAGAAAGGUCUGUGAAAUCCUUAGGAUGCCUUGGCCGAUAUCCAGCGCACACCUGACCCACACGGACAUUGCUAGAGACCUCGGGAAGCACAUGCUUUGAAGUGUAUCAUGUUUACUGGUUCCUUUGGCUUCCUACAACCCAACUCCCACCUGGAACUCCCUCUCUACUGGGUUCGUCCUCUCUUACACACAGCUCUUUGGUGUCAAAUAAAAACUGAAGGCUUUCUAGAAGA